ACAGCCCAGAGAAGUUUAGAUAUCCUGUUGUUAUAGGGUUACCAGGGCGUUGCUACAGGGUGUUUUGAGCUGUUGCCAGGGUGUUGUUAUAGGGUUACCAGGGCGUUGCUACAGGGUGUUUUGAGCUGUUGUCAGGGUGUUGUUAUAGGGUGUUUUGAGCUGUUGUCAGGGUGUUGUUAUAGGGUUACCAGGGCGUUGCUACAGGGUGUUUUGAGCUGUUGUCAGGGUGUUGUUAUAGGG
Molecule: long non-coding RNA, 240 nt
Organism: Carassius carassius (crucian carp)
Lineage: Eukaryota; Metazoa; Chordata; Actinopteri; Cypriniformes; Cyprinidae
Exons: 2
Source: RefSeq, a predicted model, not a curated record